RNAcentral lists this ribosomal RNA (465 nucleotides) under uncultured Klebsiella sp. Its description in RNAcentral is "bacterial SSU rRNA". It matches the Rfam family "Bacterial small subunit ribosomal RNA", at positions 338 to 795 of the family's 1533-position model. The record is from RNAcentral. Lineage: Bacteria; Pseudomonadati; Pseudomonadota; Gammaproteobacteria; Enterobacterales; Enterobacteriaceae.
CCUACGGGUGGCUGCAGUGGGGAAUAUUGCACAAUGGGCGCAAGCCUGAUGCAGCCAUGCCGCGUGUGUGAAGAAGGCCUUCGGGUUGUAAAGCACUUUCAGCGGGGAGGAAGGCGUUAAGGUUAAUAACCUUGGCGAUUGACGUUACCCGCAGAAGAAGCACCGGCUAACUCCGUGCCAGCAGCCGCGGUAAUACGGAGGGUGCAAGCGUUAAUCGGAAUUACUGGGCGUAAAGCGCACGCAGGCGGUCUGUCAAGUCGGAUGUGAAAUCCCCGGGCUCAACCUGGGAACUGCAUUCGAAACUGGCAGGCUAGAGUCUUGUAGAGGGGGGUAGAAUUCCAGGUGUAGCGGUGAAAUGCGUAGAGAUCUGGAGGAAUACCGGUGGUGAAGGCGGCCCCCUGGACAAAGACUGACGCUCAGGUGCGAAAGCGUGGGGAGCAAACAGGAUUAGAUACCCGAGUAGUC